Molecule: ribosomal RNA, 271 nt
Filed under: uncultured archaeon
Lineage: Archaea
Description: partial 16S ribosomal RNA
Rfam family: Archaeal small subunit ribosomal RNA
Source: RNAcentral
CAGCGCCACGAGUGGGGAUCAUCUUUAUUUGGCCUAAAGCGUCCGUAGCUGGUUAUGUAAAUCUCUUGUGAAAUCGUUUCGCUCAACGAAACGGCGUGCAGGAGAGACUGCAAAACUAGGGACCGGGAGGAGUUAGAGGUAUACUAGGGGGAGCGGUAAAAUGCAAUAAUCCCUAGUAGACCACCUGUGGCGAAGGCGUCUAACUAGAACGGGUCCGACAGUGAGGGACGAAAGCCAGGGGAGCAAACCGGAUUAGAUACCCGAGUAGUCC